Molecule: non-coding RNA, 557 nt
Organism: Callithrix jacchus (white-tufted-ear marmoset)
Lineage: Eukaryota; Metazoa; Chordata; Mammalia; Primates; Cebidae
Source: RefSeq, a predicted model, not a curated record
CUCGUGUCUAAAUGAAGCCGGUAUUUCUCAGUGGCUGGUGCAGCUGAGGGAGGCUUCGGGUGGCUUCGGGUGGCUUUCCCCGGGGCUGCUCAGCUCUUUAGCCUUUGCAGAUCCCCUUGGGACUCUCAGCAUUGGAAAUAAACAAGAAAUUGGGAGGCUAGUCCUUACAGAACAGUGGCUUUCAAAAUAUGGUCCCUGGGCCAGCAGCAUCAGCAUCACUGGAAGUUGUUAGAAAUGGAUAUUCUCCAGCCCCACCCCAGAUCUACUGAAUUGGAAACUCUGGUUGCGGGGUUCAGCAAUCUGUGUUUUAAUAAACUCUCCAGGCAUUCCCAUAAUGUGUAUGUGGACCCAGAUCACUGCAGCAUGCUCCUGGAAAUCCAAAUGACCAAGAAGGAUUGCAACAUCAAGGACAAGGAAGGGAUAAGAUUUCAGGAUAAAUCAUCUCAAGUCUGGGGUGAGAUUUACUGCCUUCUUAAAAAGCUCACAAGAUUUCAAGUGGUGACCCAAAAGUCUAUUCCUGAGGCCUCCUGCCUGCACAUAAAAACUGACACAAUGAG